UACGGAAGGCAGCAGUAGGGAAUAUUGGGCAAUGGGCGAGAGCCUGACCCAGCCAUGCCGCGUGCAGGAAGAAGGCUUUCUGAGUCGUAAACUGCUUUUGACAGGGAAGAAUAAGGUGUACGUGUACACUGAUGACGGUACCUGCAGAAUAAGCACCGGCUAACUCCGUGCCAGCAGCCGCGGUAAUACGGAGGGUGCGAGCGUUGUCCGGAUUUAUUGGGUUUAAAGGGUGCGUAGGCGGUCCAUUAGUCUGGGGUGAAAGCCCGCUGCUCAACAGCGGAACUGCCCCUGGAUACUGGCGGACUUGAGUACAGACGAGGUUGGCGGAAUGGACAGAGUAGCGGUCGAAAUGCAUAGAUACUGUCCAGAACCCCGAUUGCGAAGGCAGCUGACUAGGCUGUUACUGACGCUGAGGCACGAAAGCGUGGGGAGCGAACAGGGAAUUAAGAUACC
RNAcentral lists this ribosomal RNA (453 nucleotides) under uncultured bacterium. RNAcentral's name for it is "bacterial SSU rRNA". It matches the Rfam family "Bacterial small subunit ribosomal RNA", at positions 340 to 786 of the family's 1533-position model. The record is from RNAcentral.